This 471-nucleotide long non-coding RNA is filed under the name Mytilus galloprovincialis (Mediterranean mussel). Lineage: Eukaryota; Metazoa; Mollusca; Bivalvia; Mytilida; Mytilidae. The record is from RNAcentral.
CCUAUCUUCUCUGUAUAUUUCACGCUAACAGUGUCUUAGAUUUGCAAUGUCUUGGCUUAUACCUCUAAGUCCUGAGACAUCCAAUAUUUUUAUGCUCCACCUACGAUAGUAGAGGGGCAUUAUGUUUUCUGGUCUGUGGCUCCGUUCGUUCGUUCGUUCGUUCAUCCCGCUUCAGGUUAAAGUUUUUGGUCAAGGUAGUUUUUGAUGAAAUUGAAGUCCAAUCAACUUGAAACUUAGUACACAUGUUCCCUAUAGUAUAAUCUUUCUAAUUUUAAUGCCAAAUUAGAUAUUUACCCAAUUUCAAAGUCCAUAAAACAUGGAAAAUGAUAGUGCGAGUGGGGCAUCCGUGUACUUUGGACACAUUCUUGUUCUUAUCUAGAGCUCUGUAAAAAAGAAAAUGUAGAAGAAAAAAAAUAACAAAAAAAUAAUAUGAAAAAGAAAUUGUAAAAAUAGUUCUAGAUAAUAAACAUU